Molecule: ribosomal RNA, 481 nt
Filed under: uncultured bacterium
Lineage: Bacteria
Description: partial 16S ribosomal RNA
Rfam family: Bacterial small subunit ribosomal RNA
Source: RNAcentral
GAUGAACGCUGGCGGCGUGCUUAACACAUGCAAGUCGAACGAAGCAUUUAAGACAGAUUACUUCGGUUUGAAGUCUUUUAUGACUGAGUGGCGGACGGGUGAGUAACGCGUGGGUAACCUGCCUCAUACAGGGGGAUAGCAGCUGGAAACCGCUGGUAAUAUCGCAUAAGAGCACAGUACCACAUGGUACAGUGUGAAAAAAUCCGGUGGUAUGAGAGGGACCCGCGUCGGAGUAGCUGGUUGGCGGGGUAACGGCCCACCAAGGCGACGAUCAGUAGUCGAGCUGAGAGGGUGGCCGGCCACAUUGGGACGGAGACACGGCGCAGACUCCUACGGGAGGCAGCAGUGGGGAAUAUUGCACAAUGGAGGAAACUCUGAUGCAGCGACGCCGCGUGAGUGAAGAAGUAGUGCGAGAUGUAAAGCUCUAUCAGCAGGGAAGAUAGUGACGGUACCUGACUAAGAAGCACCGGCUAAAUACGUG